Poeciliopsis prolifica (blackstripe livebearer) is the source of this 1186-nucleotide long non-coding RNA. RefSeq lists it as uncharacterized. The record is from RefSeq and is a predicted model, not a curated record. Lineage: Eukaryota; Metazoa; Chordata; Actinopteri; Cyprinodontiformes; Poeciliidae. The transcript is spliced from 3 exons.
UAAGCAGGCUUGACCGACCUACAGUCACACUCUCUGCGGUCAAGCCCUGGCCAGAGGGAUUUGAGAUGUGGCAGCAUAAUCAAUUUCCAUGAUUCAUGAUCACCCCAAACGUAGGUCGUGCUGAGCGACUGGGCAGCUGAAAGAAGAGAGCAGACGGGGAAUGCUGACAACAGAGCUGAGUCCACUGCCAUGUAUAGGAGAGGCGGCGCUCUUCCUUUGACUGCCGUGAGGUCAUGUCUUCCUCUUUGCUGAGUAACAACAUCGAUCCCAACACUGCAAUUCUUGUUCUAUUCGGCUCCAAAGAAAAUCUGCUGAACAAACUCAGCAGGGUGGUGCUGGAGUGACUUGUCUCACCUGUCGUUGUUCUAUCUUUGACGAAAACAACAACUGUGGUCGACGUUCUCACUAGGAAAUUGGAGAGAGCUCUUCUUAGGCGGUGGACCCUUUUCAGGGCCAAGGACCAGAAUUCAAGUGUCGACUACCAGGGACUGUGGAAAUAAGGGUGACCCUCUGCCCCAAAUCCGGAUGAAGUCCAACAGUUCCCAUGGUUUUCCUUUCUGGAGGUUUAUCUCUGCCUCAAAUAGUGUUUGGUUGGCUGUUCAUAACUAAAAGAAGGAUAGGCAGAAUAAUCAAGAGACAGAUCUGCAGAAAUGAGGGUCCUGCUCUAGUUUCUCAUGUUAAAGAAAUAGCUGGUCAAAAAACUGAUGGUGUAUUUUUUCAGGUCAGUCUAAGCUGAUAUAAGAGACUGAGAUGAACUGACUGUCAGAUAGAUGAGCUCAGCCUGUAGGACUCGGCAUGUUCAAGCAGAAGUUAUGAAAUCAGUUGUCAUUGUUGCAGCUGCAUUACAACAAUUGUGUCAGUUUGUUGUCAGCCUCAAAUCUUCCACCCCUUUCUGUCACAACCCCCAUGGCAAACAUUUUGUACCUGCCCUCUGCAUCUGAAACUAUUGUGUGAUUGGUCAGAAUUGUUUAUGAUGGAAAAAAGCCCAAACUACUCAACUUUCAGAAGCUGAUUUUUCAGCCAGAAAGCAGGAUGGAUAGUUUUGAGAAACGAUUAUCCAAGGUCAUGAGAAAGUACAUACCAUUGGACCGUAACACUGAACUCCCCCUAUUUGCGUCUUGUCUGACGCAGAUACAAAAACAGAAUAAAAAAAUAUAAUAAAAUUAUUUAGGGGAUCAGCACUGUG